GAUGAACGCUAGCGGCAGGCUUAAUACAUGCAAGUCGUGGGGCAGCAUGAGUAGCAAUACUUGAUGGCGACCGGCAAACGGGUGAGGAACACGUACACAACCUUCCUUCAAGCGGGGAAUAGCCCAGAGAAAUUUGGAUUAAUACCCCAUAAUAUAUUUGAUAAGGCAUCUUAUUAAUAUUAAAGCUUCGGCACUUGAUGAUGGGUGUGCGGCUGAUUAGAUAGUUGGCGGGGUAACGGCCCACCAAGUCUACGAUCAGUAGCUGAUGUGAGAGCAUGAUCAGCCACACGGGCACUGAGACACGGGCCCGACUCCUACGGGAGGCAGCAGUAAGGAAUAUUGGACAAUGGACGAAAGUACUGAUCCAGCCAUGCCGCGUGAAGGAUUAAGGUCCUCUGGAUUGUAAACUUCUUUAUUAUGGGACGAAAAAGGCAUUCUUGUUCACUUGACGGUACCAUAUGAAUAAGCACCGGCUAACUCCGUGCCAGCA
Molecule: ribosomal RNA, 490 nt
Filed under: uncultured bacterium
Lineage: Bacteria
Description: bacterial SSU rRNA
Rfam family: Bacterial small subunit ribosomal RNA
Source: RNAcentral